Molecule: long non-coding RNA, 442 nt
Organism: Balaenoptera acutorostrata (minke whale)
Lineage: Eukaryota; Metazoa; Chordata; Mammalia; Artiodactyla; Balaenopteridae
Exons: 4
Source: RefSeq, a predicted model, not a curated record
UUUAUAUUCUCUGGUGUCAUUCAGCAAUUUCAUGAGAGCGAGACAAUGGAUUGAGAAGCAAUAAAGGAAAUUCUUCCCGUUCUUUAAGAUAAGGAAACCAGGACCCAUGGAGGUCAAGGUCUAUGGACUGUGGUUUUGUGUGUCUUCCUUUCUCUGUGAUGACCCCACAGGAACUGAUUCCAACAAAGUUAGCUGCAGAUCCAUCUCCCACUUUGCUUACGAUGAAAAGAUUGUUUGAACCUUCUUACCCAGGCUUUGGAAUAUUAUUCUAAAAGUCAAAAGUGUUUUAGAGUCAAAUGCUAAAUGACUUCAAAACUGAAGAUGAAGAACUGAAGCCCAUAAAGAUUAUGCAAGGUUCCCAUGGCCACACAUUCAAUGCAAGAGGCAGAAGUUGAACCCAAGUAUCCCAAGGCAAGAGCCAGAAGUUGAAUCCAUACCAACA